CAUCUUUACGCCACAGGAUUAAGCCAUUACACUUCUACAUCUUUACGCCACAGGAUUAAGCCAUUACACUUCUACAUCUUUACGCCACAGGAUUAAGCCAUUACACUUCUACAUCUUUACGCCACAGGAUUAAGCCAUUACACUUCUACAUCUUUACGCCACAGGAUUAAGCCAUUACACUUCUACAUCUUUACGCCACAGGAUUAAGCCAUUACACUUCUACAUCUUUACGCCACAGGAUUAAGCCAUUACACUUCUACAUCUUUAAAUCACAUGAUUUAGCCAUUACACGUCAAUAUCUUUAAAUCACUCCACUAAAAGCCAAUAAAAUAGCGUAGGUAUCCGAGCAAAAAGAGCUGCUCAUGAAUCUUAAGUGUUCAUUGUUUAAAUUGAAAUCGUCCAUUUAAUUCGUUUUAGAUUGACAAAAUACUGUAAUGUUUUGUUGUCUUUCCUUCUUUGGAUUGGUCAUGAGAAGGCAGAAGCUGAGUAAUUCAUAGUAUGUCAGUUGGAAAGGGCAAUACCACAGACUUUAAAAAAAUGAAAUCAAAAGAAACAGCUGGUAAAAGAGGCUAGGAAAGUAGUAAAUCAAAGGCGAAAGAGCGCUUUACUGAUCAUUUAUUGCCCCGGGGAUCAUUUAUGGCUCUGAAGCUCAAACCAAAAGGUUUAUGUCUAGAAUGACGAAAGAUUGGAAUGUUUUUUUUAUGAGUUUGUUUCCCAUUUCAUCACUCAACUCUCAAAAAUUAUGGACUCGGGACUAGCUGCUUUUGACUCAAAGAUGCAGCGAGCACUACUUCUAGCAAUGAUGGAACAAUUUAUUUCCAUGGGAAAAAGUAAACCAAGGGCAAAAGAUCGAUGUUUAUUUAUUGCUCUAAAAACAUCUCAAACGGUUAAUUGUUAUUCCACAAUGUUUUGUCAUUCUAGACAUAAACAUUUCAAUACACUCUCCAUCUAUCGUUUUUAUAACACCUUACGUUUAGUUAUAUAUAAGACCUACUUGUAUUGUGAUUUUUGUUUUGCCGAAUAUUUGCAUAUUACUGAGAGCAGAUUUGAGCCAAUAUCUUUAAAUCACGCCAUUAUGAGCCAACAACAUAGCGCAGCUAACCAAGUGCACUCUUAUAAUUGUAAGUGGUCUCAUUUAUUUUAAAUUCCGUUAUGCGAGGGUUUGACCCAAACAGAAAAAGGUUUAUAUUUAGAUUGACAAAAUACUGGAAUGUUUUUUUUUCUUUCUUUGAAUUGUAUUUUAUAGUAUUUCAGUUGAAAUGGCCGAUACCACAGACUUUCAAAAAUUAAAUCAAAAGUUAAAAGUUCCGUGAUAUCGCAGGUAACCCAGCGGUCUGUUAUGUGCUAGCGUUUGACCCAAACUAAAAAGGGUUCAUAUUGUGAUUGAUAAAAAUAUUGGCUUUUAACGGCUUUUUAAAGUUUUAAAGUAUCGUUGAGGCAAAAAAAAAUAAAAAUUCAAGCUAAAUCAUCAAACAGUAAGACGCUUUUCGUACUUGGUUAGAAAAAGUGUCUUGUGAAUAGUAAAAGCCGCGAGUUUGGUCAUCCUUGCAUUUAUUUUUGGGUGGAGAAGGUACUUAUCUUUCACUUUACGGAGGGAGCUAAGUCGAAGCAGGGCGCUUAAACGAACUUACAGUGAUUCAAUCUAGCAAGAAGAGCGCCUGUUCGCAUACUAACUUUGUUUUUUAAGGAGUUCUUCAAGGUGCAUAACUAAACUUUAUUUGGAUAGUCUUGACUAACAAGAAGCUCACGAGACCGAUUUUUACUGCGAGAAGAACGUUCAAAUCAAGUUUACAGUCAACUCCACAACAUGAUUGUAACUGAAUCAUCAUCCACUUAUAAAGGAAAAAAGUCUGUACAUGACCUAAGCCGCUUGACCUAACCGAACUUUAUUCCUUGCGCAAGCGGAAGAUCCUCGCUAUAGUUGAUUGUGCUGCAGGGAAAGAUUGAUACAAAGUUACCUCCCCACACACACAAGAAAAUGAUAACGCAUGGAGUAGUCACGUACCAUGUGUAUGUCCGGUGUGCUUCUCGCCGCCUAUGCGAAAUAGCAUAAGGUUGGAUAAAGGGUUUGUACACACCGGCUAAAAAAGUCUGCAAAUCAUUCUUCAAAUGACAAAAUAUUGUAAUUGAUAUGUUAGUCCUAUAAAAUGCCAGAUUAUUAGACGUGUACAAACAAUAAAUAUUAUUUUGAAAAUCGCGAUAUAACCAUGUUGUACUUCAUUUACCAAACUCAACAGUAAAAAUAUUGUAAUAGUUUCCCCAAAUCCCCAAAUAUUGUAAUAGUUCCCCCAAAUCCCCAAAUAUUGUAAUAGUUUCCCCAAAUCCCCAAAUAUUGUAAUAGUUUCCCCAAAUCCCCAAAUAUUGUAAUAGUUACCCCAAAUAACCAAAUAUUAUAAUAGUUUCCCCAUAUCCCCAAAUAUUGUAAUAGUUUUCCCAAAUCCCCAAAUAUUAUAAUAGUUUCCCCAAAUCCCCGGUGUUCCCAGAAGGCAUUUCGGGUGAUAGACAUAUUUUUGGAUAUCGUAGUCAAAAACGUGUUUGUUGUGCGACGUUGGUAUAACGUAGUGCUUGCAACGUGGGAAGUAGAGUGGAACUGCGAUUUUAUUCAGUAAGUAGAGCAAUGAUUCUAUUUGAUUUUAUUCCUUUUUUCAAAAAAGUGUUGUCUACUGGUGCUAGAAAAAACUAUUUUUUUAAUUUUAUGGAUAAAUGGGAUAAUUUCUACUGAGAUAACUUGAUUUAUUUGAAAGUUCUCUUCGAAGAACAGUGUCAAUGAAGUCCCAAAGCGGACAGUUAAUUGUAAACUGUGAACCUAACCUAAACUUGUGAACCUAACCUCUGUUAUGCUAAGUUCAAACGUCGUAUUAUCCAUGAGCCAUAUUCAAUGCAAAUGCGUGCAAAUGAAGAUGAAACAAUCAAUUCAUUUGCACGCAUUUGCAUUGAAUACGGCUCAUUUAUACAACGACGUUUGAACUAGGCCUAAGCAAGAAAAUGUCAUUUAGUAAUACUGAUAUUCAUUGACAAAAUAGGUGAUAAAUGUACACAUUGUUAAAACUAUUGUUUCAUUUUUAUAGUAUUAUAACAAUUACCUCAUACUUGUAAAAGUUAACAGUUUAUAUUGAAGUUUAUUAAAAGUUGAGUUUGCAAUAA
Nematostella vectensis (starlet sea anemone) is the source of this 3144-nucleotide long non-coding RNA. RefSeq lists it as uncharacterized. NCBI's taxonomy places the organism in Eukaryota, Metazoa, Cnidaria, Anthozoa, Actiniaria, Edwardsiidae. The transcript has 2 exons. The record is from RefSeq and is a predicted model, not a curated record.